This 253-nucleotide ribosomal RNA is filed under the name uncultured bacterium. RNAcentral describes it as "partial 16S ribosomal RNA". It matches the Rfam family "Bacterial small subunit ribosomal RNA", at positions 524 to 776 of the family's 1533-position model. The record is from RNAcentral.
UACGUAGGGGGCAAGCGUUGUCCGGAAUCAUUGGGCGUAAAGAGCGUGUAGGUGGCUCGGUAAGUCCGCUGUAAAAGUCCAGGGCUCAACCCUGGAAAGCCGGUGGAAACUGUCGAGCUAGAGUCCGGAAGAGGCGAGUGGAAUUCCUGGUGUAGCGGUGAAAUGCGCAGUUAUCAGGAGGAACACCAAUGGCGAAGGCAGCUCGCUGGGACGGUACUGACACUGAGACGCGAAAGCGUGGGGAGCAAACAGG